RNAcentral lists this ribosomal RNA (395 nucleotides) under uncultured bacterium. Its description in RNAcentral is "partial 16S ribosomal RNA". It matches the Rfam family "Bacterial small subunit ribosomal RNA", at positions 523 to 918 of the family's 1533-position model. The record is from RNAcentral.
AUACGUAGGGGGCGAGCGUUGUCCGGAAUGACUGGGCGUAAAGGGCGUGUAGGCGGCCGAUUAAGUCUGGAGUGAAAGUCCUGCUUUCAAGGUGGGAAUUGCUUUGGAGACUGGUUGGCUUGAGUGCGGAAGAGGUAAGUGGAAUUCCCAGUGUAGCGGUGAAAUGCGUAGAUAUCGGGAGGAACACCAGUGGCGAAGGCGGCUUCCUGGCCAAAGACUGACGCUGAGGUGCGAAAGCUGGGGGAGCGAACGGGAUUAGAUACCCCGGUAGUCCCAGCCGUAAACGAUGAAUGCUAGGUGUGGGUAGUGCGAGCUAUCCGUGCCGGAGUUAACGCGCUAAGCAUUCCGCCUGGGGAGUACGAUCGCAAGAUUGAAACUCAAAUGAAUUGGCGGGG